This 253-nucleotide ribosomal RNA is filed under the name uncultured bacterium. Its description in RNAcentral is "partial 16S ribosomal RNA". It matches the Rfam family "Bacterial small subunit ribosomal RNA", at positions 524 to 776 of the family's 1533-position model. The record is from RNAcentral.
UACGAAGGGGGCUAGCGUUGCUCGGAAUCACUGGGCGUAAAGCGCACGUAGGCGGAUUGUUAAGUCAGGGGUGAAAUCCUGGAGCUCAACUCCAGAACUGCCUUUGAUACUGGCGAUCUCGAGUCCGGGAGAGGUGAGUGGAACUGCGAGUGUAGAGGUGAAAUUCGUAGAUAUUCGCAAGAACACCAGUGGCGAAGGCGGCCCACUGGCCCGGUACUGACGCUGAGGUGCGAAAGCUAGGGGAGCGAACGGG